ACACCGAAAGGAGGUGAUCCGAGGAAUGAUUUCCCAUCGGACAUGUGAGGUGGCUCGCCGCUGAGGCGACCAUCGGCCCGAACCGUCGGAUCGCUCCGGCGGCUCAUCGGAUCGACGGACCGCAGCGAAUCCACUCGAGCUGCCCGGACCCGCAGGGGUCGGACUCGUCCCCCGACCGGCGCCCAGCGCGACCUGCGGGUCUGCCCAUG
This 209-nucleotide small RNA is filed under the name Brachybacterium muris UCD-AY4. RNAcentral's name for it is "Actinobacteria sRNA Ms_IGR-5". It matches the Rfam family "Actinobacteria sRNA Ms_IGR-5". Lineage: Bacteria; Bacillati; Actinomycetota; Actinomycetes; Micrococcales; Dermabacteraceae. The record is from Rfam by way of RNAcentral.